GUAGAAUGAAGCUCGUUGGAUAGAGCGUUUAGCUGUUAACUAAAAUGUUGCGGGAUCGAGGCCCGUCUUUCUAGG
Molecule: transfer RNA, 75 nt
Filed under: Xenopus victorianus (Lake Victoria clawed frog)
Lineage: Eukaryota; Metazoa; Chordata; Amphibia; Anura; Pipidae
Description: tRNA-Asn
Rfam family: tRNA
About the family: Transfer RNA (tRNA) molecules are approximately 80 nucleotides in length. Their secondary structure includes four short double-helical elements and three loops (D, anti-codon, and T loops). Further hydrogen bonds mediate the characteristic L-shaped molecular structure. tRNAs have two regions of fundamental functional importance: the anti-codon, which is responsible for specific mRNA codon recognition, and the 3' end, to which the tRNAs corresponding amino acid is attached (by aminoacyl-tRNA synthetases). tRNAs cope with the degeneracy of the genetic code in two manners: having more than one tRNA (with a specific anti-codon) for a particular amino acid; and 'wobble' base-pairing, i.e. permitting non-standard base-pairing at the 3rd anti-codon position.
Source: RNAcentral